UGAUAAGCGAUCGUAAUCACUACCAGAAAGAGGCCGAACAAAUUUGCUGGUGCUGCGCUGGAUGAAUCGUUUCAGGAGAAUUUGAAAACAAGAACCCCUUUUUUAAGAGCUGUUAACGUUUUGGUGAAUCUUAUGUUUUGCAUCACGAAGAUGGUGGAGAUUCGGCCGUAAGUUACCAGAAGGCAGUCAAAAAUUAUAUUUCGGUAACAGUUGGCCGGGUUUAACUUCAAGUGAAAGAACUAAAAGUUGGGCUCAUCUUGCAUUAUCGAGGAAAACAUUUGCUGAGGACUUCGUACGACGCUCCCAGGCAAGAAUGGAAGUGCACCCAGCGUUAAGUGGCCAAUGUGUUCAUUACAGGUUUUUUUAAGGUACUGUUUACGUGACAUUUUGCAUCGUGACGUGAUAAUUUCUGUCUGGAAAGUCAGCCUUAUUGGCAUAUAAAUUCUCUUGUUCUAUGUAAGUAAAAUUGAACUGUUCUUUACUUUAAAUAGUUAAACAACUUAAAAGCGUUGUUAUCUGUGCCAACAAGGAGACUGCAGUUUGUUGUGUCGUAAUAAACCUUCCUAAGUUUUUGGUGCAGAAUGCUAA
Thrips palmi is the source of this 588-nucleotide long non-coding RNA. RefSeq lists it as uncharacterized. The transcript is spliced from 3 exons. Lineage: Eukaryota; Metazoa; Arthropoda; Insecta; Thysanoptera; Thripidae. The record is from RefSeq and is a predicted model, not a curated record.